This 433-nucleotide ribosomal RNA is filed under the name uncultured bacterium. RNAcentral describes it as "partial 16S ribosomal RNA". It matches the Rfam family "Bacterial small subunit ribosomal RNA", at positions 29 to 507 of the family's 1533-position model. The record is from RNAcentral.
AACGAACGCUGGCGGCAUGCCUAACACAUGCAAGUCGAACGAGACCUUCGGGUCUAGUGGCGCCCGGGUGCGUUACGCGUGGGAUCCUGCCCUUAGGUUCGGAAUACCUCCCCGUAAGGGGUGCUAAUACCGGAUAUAGUCUCCGGAACAAAGAUUUAUUGCCUUUGGAUGGGCCCGCGUUGGAUUAGCUAGUUGGUAGGGUAACAGCCUACCAAGGCGACGAUCCGUAGCUGGUCUGAGAGGGUGAGCGGCCACACUGGGACUGAGACACGGCCCAGACUCCUACGGGAGGCAGCAGUGGGGAAUAUUGGACAAUGGGGGAAAGCCUGAUCCAGCAAUGCCGCGUGAGUGAAGAAGGCCUUAGGGUUGUAAAGCUCUUUUACCCGGGAUGAUAAUGACGGUACCGGGAGAAUAAGCUCCGGCUAACUCCGUG